CUACGGGCGGCAGCAGUCGAGAAUCUUCCGCAAUGGACGAAAGUCUGACGGAGCGACGCCGCGUGCGGGAUGAAGGCCUUCGGGUUGUAAACCGCUGUCAGUGGGGAGGAAAUGCAUCAGGGUUCUCCCUGGUGUUUGACCGAUCCGCAGAGGAAGCGCAGGCUAAGUUCGUGCCAGCAGCCGCGGUAACACGAACUGCGCGAACGUUAUUCGGAAUCACUGGGCUUAAAGAGUUCGUAGGCGGCCUUUCAAGUCGGGUGUGAAAUCCCUCGGCUCAACCGAGGAAUUGCGCCUGAUACUGUUGGGCUUGAGGGGGAUAGGGGUGAGCGGAACUGAUGGUGGAGCGGUGAAAUGCGUUGAUAUCAUCAGGAACACCGGUGGCGAAGGCGGCUCACUGGAUCUCUUCUGACGCUGAGGAACGAAAGCUAGGGGAGCGAACGGGAUUAGAUACCCCCGUAGUC
This 461-nucleotide ribosomal RNA is filed under the name uncultured bacterium. RNAcentral describes it as "partial 16S ribosomal RNA". It matches the Rfam family "Bacterial small subunit ribosomal RNA", at positions 339 to 795 of the family's 1533-position model. The record is from RNAcentral.